UACGUAGGGUGCAAGCGUUGUCCGGAAUUAUUGGGCGUAAAGAGCGUGUAGGCGGCUAGAUAGGUCCGUUGUGAAAACUCGAGGCUCAACCUCGAGACGUCGAUGGAAACCAUCUGGCUAGAGUCCGGAAGAGGAGAGUGGAAUUCCUGGUGUAGCGGUGAAAUGCGCAGAUAUCAGGAGGAACACCAAUUGCGAAGGCAGCUCGCUGGGACGUUACUGACGCUGAGACGCGAAAGCGUGGGGAGCAAACAGG
RNAcentral lists this ribosomal RNA (253 nucleotides) under uncultured bacterium. RNAcentral describes it as "partial 16S ribosomal RNA". It matches the Rfam family "Bacterial small subunit ribosomal RNA", at positions 524 to 776 of the family's 1533-position model. The record is from RNAcentral.